UUGCUAUGCUGGUUGCUUGGCUCUAUUUUACCUCGUAGCGGUAGCGAAGGAAGGAGGAUGCUGGCAGUUCUAUUUCACUGCAUAAAUGCUUGCUCAGUCCGUGCAAAAUUAUUACCUCAGAAUUGCUCUCCAAGGAUGGUAUUUUUAACGCUGACAACCUGCUGACUACCUGCUGCUUCAGAGGACCAAAAAGACUGGAAAGAAAACACUCUUUCUUUGCCAUAUAUUUGUUAUAUUGUUAUAUAUUGUUAAAUAGGAAGAAAACAUUUAAGCAGUUUUUAGAUUGACGUUGCUAGCUACUGUAUUUAUUUAUCUCAGCCUGCCUAGUCAGCUAUCCAGACUACAGUAGCUGGCUAGUUAGCCAUCUAGCUGGGCAGACAGUUUUAUUUAGCUAACGUUAGCUAGCUCGCCAGCUAGCUACUGUAACUGUUAUCGUAGCUUUCUGUUUUCAUGUAGCUUGCACUUCAAUGGCAUCCCUCGAGGAUAUACUGUAGUCUUUCAAAUUUGUGAUUGAAUUAGUGUUGUUGUUUGUCUAUUGCUAUUUUUAAAUAACGUACUUUCAGAUCACUGAAACCCCACCUGAUGUGGAGGAAGUUGUCAAACCAGAUCAGAACGCAUUUGAGAACCACCACGGACUGAGAAGGAUGUGGAGUUUUUGACCAGUUACAGUCUUGUCCCAUCGCUGCAACUCCCGUAUGGACUCUGGAGAGGCGAAGGUCGAGAGCCUUAAGUCCUCCGAAACACAAUCCAGCCAAGCCGCACUGCUUCUUGACACAAUGCCCGCUUAACCCGGAAGCCAGCCGCACCAAUGUGUCAGAGGAAAUACAGUACACCUGGUGACUGUGUCAACGUGCUUUGAGCCCGGCCAACCACAGGAGUUGCUAGUGCGCAAUGGGACAAGAACAUCCCUGCCGGCUAAACCCUCUCCUAAACCGGACGACGCUGGGCCAUUUGUGCGCCGCCCCAUGGGUCUCCCAGUCGCAGCCGGCUGCGACAGAGCCUGGACUCAAACCAGGAUCUCUAGCUUAGCACUGCGAUGCAGUGCCUUAGACCACAGUGCCACUGUGGUGGCAAGAAAUGUAUUUGUAAUAUGAAAUAUAAUUGUAUUUAUUCCUGUUAUCAAUCAAGGUGAGACUGAACAUCAACAACGCGUAGGAGAAACAGAAGGAGAGCUACCGGAGCAGAAUCAAGCAGGGGACCAAGUGCUUCGACAUCCAGGCAAAUUACUUGGUUUGGAAGAAGGACGAAAGGAAGGCGAGACCUGGGAAACCUUGCUGCGCUUUUGCUCCUAGCUGGGGCCACCAUCUGUUAAAGUGAAUGUAAAAAAC
Molecule: long non-coding RNA, 1328 nt
Filed under: Salmo salar (Atlantic salmon)
Lineage: Eukaryota; Metazoa; Chordata; Actinopteri; Salmoniformes; Salmonidae
Description: lncRNA (ENSSSAG00000115053.1)
Source: RNAcentral